UUCCAGCUCCAAUAGCGUAUAUUAAAGUUGUUGCAGUUAAAAAGCUCGUAGUUGAAUUUCGGGGUUAGUAGGCUGGUCGUGCCACUGGUAUGUACUGGUCUUACUGACUUCUCCUUUCUGAAGAACUGUAAUGCCAUUAAUUUGGUGUUGCAGGGAAUCAGGACUGUUACUUUGAAAAAAUUAGAGUGUUUAAAGCAGGCUAACGCUUGAAUACAUUAGCAUGGAAUAAUGAAAUAGGACGUUCGAUCCUAUUUUGUUGGUUUCUAGGAUUGACGUAAUGAUUAAUAGGGAUAGUUGGGGGCAUUAGUAUUCAAUUGUCAGAGGUGAAAUUCUUGGAUUUAUUGAAGACUAACUACUGCGAAAGCAUUUGCCAAGGAUGUUUUCAUUAAUCAAGAACGAAAGUUAGGGGAUCGAAGACGAUCAGAUACCGUCGUAGUCUUAACCAUAAACUAUGCCGACUAGGGAUCGG
RNAcentral lists this ribosomal RNA (469 nucleotides) under uncultured Glomus. RNAcentral's name for it is "SSU rRNA". It matches the Rfam family "Eukaryotic small subunit ribosomal RNA", at positions 583 to 1056 of the family's 1831-position model. Lineage: Eukaryota; Fungi; Glomeromycota; Glomeromycetes; Glomerales; Glomeraceae. The record is from RNAcentral.